Molecule: ribosomal RNA, 266 nt
Filed under: uncultured archaeon
Lineage: Archaea
Description: partial 16S ribosomal RNA
Rfam family: Archaeal small subunit ribosomal RNA
Source: RNAcentral
ACACGACUACAUUAGAUACCCGCGUAGUCCUAGCCGUAAACGAUACUCGCUAGGUGUCGGCCACGGUGCGACCGUUGUCGGUGCCGUAGGGAAGCCGUGAAGCGAGCCACCUGGGAAGUACGGCCGCAAGGCUGAAACUUAAAGGAAUUGGCGGGGGAGCACAACAACGGGUGGAGCUUGCGGUUCAAUUGGAUUCAACGCCGGAAAUCUUACCGGGACCGACAGCAACAUGAAGGCCAAGCUGAAGACUUUGCCGGAUUUAGCUG